GAUGAACGCUGGCGGCGUGCCUAAUACAUGCAAGUCGAGCGAACGGACGAGAAGCUUGCUUCUCUGAUGUUAGCGGCGGACGGGUGAGUAACACGUGGAUAACCUACCUAUAAGACUGGGAUAACUUCGGGAAACCGGAGCUAAUACCGGAUAAUAUUUUGAACAGCAUGGUUCAAAAGUGAAAGACGGUCUUGCUGUCACUUAUAGAUGGAUCCGCGCUGCAUUAGCUAGUUGGUAAGGUAACGGCUUACCAAGGCAACGAUGCAUAGCCGACCUGAGAGGGUGAUCGGCCACACUGGAACUGAGACACGGUCCAGACUCCUACGGGAGGCAGCAGUAGGGAAUCUUCCGCAAUGGGCGAAAGCCUGACGGAGCAACGCCGCGUGAGUGAUGAAGGUCUUCGGAUCGUAAAACUCUGUUAUUAGGGAAGAUCAUAUGUGUAAGUAACUGUGCACAUCUUGACGGUACCUAAUCAGAAAGCCACGGCUAACUACGCA
This 497-nucleotide ribosomal RNA is filed under the name uncultured bacterium. RNAcentral's name for it is "partial 16S ribosomal RNA". It matches the Rfam family "Bacterial small subunit ribosomal RNA", at positions 28 to 507 of the family's 1533-position model. The record is from RNAcentral.